AAGUUGCGUCACCAAAACAACAACACGCAGCGGGACGGCAAAGCAGCUGCAACUCCGCUAUUUUACUGAAAACUGGCAUUUUUAUUAUGUUUACGGCGAGUUAUAGACUCUAGAUAUAGCGGAAAUUACACGACGCUGAAUAGCGCAUUUAAUCCUUUUCUUUUAUGGUAAAUGUUAGCUGCGCAUUAGCCAACAUCUAAUGUAUUACGCCCAUUUCUAGUCUUUUCAGUGGCUACAACUGAUGAUGGCGACACUAGCAAUUCGUGUUAUAAAUCCAGAUGUCCCUGCACCUUGUCAGCAAACCGGGUGAGAAGUAUGGUCUUCACCAAACCUCAACAGGAGCAACUCAGCCAAGUUGCUGACUUCCCUCACGCACAGAAGCUUCUUUGAGCAGAGGGUAUCCACGCGCCUUCACGUCAGCAGUGCCCCCGGUAGACUGCAGCGAGAACUGCAUCUGAACCAUCCAGACUGUCUGUCUCUCUCGUCAUGGUCAUCUAAAUGCAAUGCACAGUAAUAGCGAACGGUGUGUGGAGCUGAAUGAGGCCGAGACCCAGCUCAAUAUUCAGCUCAAACAGAUCUUGGAGCAAAUUGGUGCCCAGGAAAAAACACACUGUGGCUCUACAGCAGGCCAUUCACAACAAAGAAGCUCCACUGCGAGUAGCUCAGUCCAGACUUUACCUUCGCUCCCUCAGACCCAACAUGGAGCUCUGCAGGGAUGAACCCCAGCUCAGGUAUGCAUACACAAAACAAUAAACUUCUUUGUCUUUCUCACUGCUCUGUUUUUUUGCUUCUGUAGUUUGUAGGGGGAGGUGAAGCAGAUUGAUGCCACUCUGGCAUCUCUACACCAGAAGCUGAGCAAAGCCAGAGAGUGCCUGUCUCAUCUGGAGGAGUCACGCAUGGAUACUGAAAGGGAUAUCUUCAUACACAUGAUCACCAUCGUCAUUAUCGUAGAUGUGCCAGUUGUCCUGCUGCUCAGAAGAAUCCAAAUUGAAACACACUGUUAGGUUUAUAUUGUUGGAUUGUCAUUUAUGCUUAGAAAUAUAUAAUC
Oreochromis niloticus (Nile tilapia) is the source of this 1048-nucleotide long non-coding RNA. RefSeq lists it as uncharacterized. The transcript is spliced from 3 exons. NCBI's taxonomy places the organism in Eukaryota, Metazoa, Chordata, Actinopteri, Cichliformes, Cichlidae. The record is from RefSeq and is a predicted model, not a curated record.